CCUACGUGAGGCUGCAGUGGGGAAUAUUGGUCAAUGGGCGAAAGCCUGACCCCGCAACGCCGCGUGAAGGAAGAAGGCUUUCGGGUUGUAAACUUCUUUUGACAGGGAAGACCCGAAGACGGUACCUGUCGACUAAGACACUGCUAACUACGUACCAGCAGCCUCGGUAAUACGUAGGUGGCAAGCGGUUUCCGGAUUUACUGGGUGUAAAGGGCGUGUAGCCGGGCUGACAAGUCAGAUGUGAAAUCCGGGGGCUCAACCCCCGAACUGCAUUUGAAACUGUUGGUCUUGAGUAGGGGAGAGGCAGGCGGAAUUCGUAGUGUAGCGGUGAAAUGCGUAGAUAUGAGGAGGAACAC
Molecule: ribosomal RNA, 356 nt
Filed under: uncultured bacterium
Lineage: Bacteria
Description: partial 16S ribosomal RNA
Rfam family: Bacterial small subunit ribosomal RNA
Source: RNAcentral